RNAcentral lists this ribosomal RNA (206 nucleotides) under uncultured bacterium. RNAcentral describes it as "partial 16S ribosomal RNA". It matches the Rfam family "Bacterial small subunit ribosomal RNA", at positions 1295 to 1500 of the family's 1533-position model. The record is from RNAcentral.
GGAUUGUAGUCUGNAACCCGACUACAUGAAGCUGGAAUCGCUAGUAAUCGCGGAUCAGAAUGCCGCGGUGAAUACGUUCCCGGGUCUUGUACACACCGCCCGUCACACCAUGGGAGUCGGAAAUGCCCGAAGUCUGUGACCCAACCUACGGGAGGGAGCAGCCGAAGGCAGGUCGGAUGACUGGGGUGAAGUCGUAACAAGGUAGC